GUCCUGGUAGCUCAGGGGAUAGAGCGCAUGCCUGCGGAGCAUGAGGUCGCUGGUUCAAUUCCAGCCCAGGACG
Molecule: transfer RNA, 73 nt
Filed under: Armatimonadota bacterium
Lineage: Bacteria; Bacillati; Armatimonadota
Description: Armatimonadetes bacterium (fermentation metagenome) tRNA-Arg
Rfam family: tRNA
About the family: Transfer RNA (tRNA) molecules are approximately 80 nucleotides in length. Their secondary structure includes four short double-helical elements and three loops (D, anti-codon, and T loops).
Source: RNAcentral